AGUUUGAUCAUGGCUCAGAGCGAACGCUGGCGGCAGGCUUAACACAUGCAAGUCGAACGGGCGUAGCAAUACGUCAGUGGCAGACGGGUGAGUAACGCGUGGGAACGUACCUUUUGGUUCGGAACAACCCAGGGAAACUUGGGCUAAUACCGGAUAAGCCCUUACGGGGAAAGAUUUAUCGCCGAAAGAUCGGCCCGCGUCUGAUUAGCUUGUUGGUGAGGUAACGGCUCACCAAGGCGACGAUCAGUAGCUGGUCUGAGAGGAUGAUCAGCCACAUUGGGACUGAGACACGGCCCAAACUCCUACGGGAGGCAGCAGUGGGGAAUAUUGGACAAUGGGCGCAAGCCUGAUCCAGCCAUGCCGCGUGAGUGAUGAAGGCCCUAGGGUUGUAAAGCUCUUUUGUGCGGGAAGAUAAUGACGGUACCGCAAGAAUAAGCCCCGGCUAACUUCGUGCCAGCAGCCGCGGUAAUACGAAGGGGGCUAGCGUUGCUCGGAAUUACUGGGCGUAAAGGGUGCGUAGGCGGGUCUUUAAGUCAGGGGUGAAAUCCUGGAGCUCAACUCCAGAACUGCCUUUGAUACUGAGGAUCUUGAGUUCGGGAGAGGUGAGUGGAACUGCGAGUGUAGAGGUGAAAUUCGUAGAUAUUCGCAAGAACACCAGUGGCGAAGGCGGCUCACUGGCCCGAUACUGACGCUGAGGCACGAAAGCGUGGGGAGCAAACAGGAUUAGAUACCCUGGUAGUCCACGCCG
This 748-nucleotide ribosomal RNA is filed under the name uncultured bacterium. RNAcentral describes it as "bacterial SSU rRNA". It matches the Rfam family "Bacterial small subunit ribosomal RNA", at positions 10 to 802 of the family's 1533-position model. The record is from RNAcentral.